Molecule: long non-coding RNA, 2140 nt
Organism: Ornithorhynchus anatinus (platypus)
Lineage: Eukaryota; Metazoa; Chordata; Mammalia; Monotremata; Ornithorhynchidae
Exons: 15
Source: RefSeq, a predicted model, not a curated record
GGCGGUGAGCCCCUUACGCAGGGAUGGGGGUCUGCCUUCAAUUGUCAAUCCAAUCCUCCUGGUGAACUGCUGGCUAGCGGCACAGCGCCGAGUUCAGAUACAGAUGAGCAGCACGAUUGAAAUUGAUUGGUCCAGGUCACAGCACCUAUUCGAUCUCCUGAGAUAAGGACAGAGACUCUCCUGCCAUAGCUCUGCAGAUCCAAGGAUGCCUCCGUAGGCUUGAUCCUGAUAGACGACGAAUUAUCCACCGCUCCCUGCAAACACAACAGCUGGAAGAGAACUUGAAAACCAGAAGUAGGAAACAAGAUGGCUUUUUCGAUCUGACAUGUCUGAGCAGGACCGUAACCUCGCAUGCUGGAUAUGUGCUGUUCCGUCAAGUAUGGGGUGGCUUGUAUAAAGCAUAUCUUUUAGGAUUCUAAACCAGCCUGCAUGGUGGCAACACAGUCUUCUGAUGCUGCAGCUUGACCCUCUAUGUGAAGAAAGGCGAAGGGAAAAAUCCAACUGUGAUUUAAUAUGUGCCAUUGCUGGAGUGAGAUCAGUUGCAGCCACCAUCAGGCAGGCAAGAGAUGUGCGACCAGCCAUCAGGGCUGAAAUGAUAUCCGCUUGAAGAUUUUCUGCCCGUUUUGCUGCAUCUGAUUCUCUUUCAACAAUAUCAUAUGUAGCCAGUGUAUCCUGUGCACUAAAUUGAGGUCACUGCUUCAGCUGUUUUCUGACUGGUGGAUCCCGGGGUCGGGAUUGCCUUAGUGUCAGUUGGAUACGGGGAGGCCAGACUAAAGGGUAUUUUUUCAAAGGAAGCAACCACUUUAGAGAAGAUCUCAAUUCUCCCCGUGGACAGUCUACUUAGGGAAGGCAUAUUUGGGGAACCAAUUUUUUUUCCCUGGAAAUAGCCAUUUUUGAUUUUUGACCCAAAUCUGCUUGAAGAACUCUAAACCUGGGAGCCAGCCCAACGUGGGUGAGAACAGAUUGAGAGAGAGACUGGUCAAGGAAAGGUUGUGGAUGAUCCAAUGACAGCCACUGAGGGAAUUGUUUCAGAGAAGUCUUCUCCCUUUUUGAACUGGUUUGAAACAGUGUCUUCAUUAAACAUUUCCUAAUACAGAAUUGGAUUCCACAUUAAGCAUUAUUUUCAAGAGUUAAGGAAUUGGGAACAUUAUGAAAUCAUUUGGUUCUUGGCAGGUAUCCCAAACUUUCCCAUUCACCAGGAUUCUAACUGUUACCUGUGUGGAGUCCAUUUGGAUUUUUGACUUGGAUUAUCCAGAUUACAACAGUUGGGUUGCCACUUUGCUUGGCAUGAGAAGACUUCUGGGACACUGGAGGGAAUUCCAAACUGCAAUAAUUUUCACCUUUUCUAGAGAGAAAUCAUUCCGGUUUCACCUGAACAGUUUCCAGUGAUGCUGUAAAAAUGGAAAUAAUGUCUGACCAUCUUGGAGCGUCUAGAAAGAAAAUGAGUUAAGUCUCAACUAUUUUGGAAAAGUGACCUUCCUGAGAGCAAGGAUCCUGUUUUGAAUUUGCCAGAUAUUAAAAAAGAAAGGGGAUGCUUAGCUGAGCCGCAGUGCAAACCCGAAAAACAUCUGGAAGAAGAGAUGCGGGAAGUCUUCACUACCUGAAUGUGCUACUCUCAGGAAUUUCACCAUCUAAGCAAAAGGGAGGUAGGAGAUUACAGGGCCAAACGGAAGCUCGGAGAAAGCCCUGGCCCGUGCUUGGUUCGACCCACUCGGGAUAAGGAGCAAUGGUAGCCCGGCUGGUGUCCGUUGCAAGAAGGUCAGUCGGCUUUCGAGGCGCUAACCGGUUCAUGGUGAAGUGCUGAAAUGUAUCAUUUAGCUUACCUGGAAGAUGAGGCUGAAAAUCUCCACCGACCUAUUCGCCGCGUGGACCCGGGUCACUGUCUCCUGCAGUUCUCUGAUGGUACCGCUCAGGGGAAGCCUGGGACCCCAGUUACCAAAUUGCCGCUCGGAAAUCAUUUAGACUGAUGCCUCAGCAGGGGACGUCCGCCUUUGAAGGGAAUGAAUAUAUGUAGUUCCAAAGAAUCAGAUAAUGCACCGACACGUAGCCAAAAAGUUCAUGAUUUCAGAAGGUCGUGGAUUUGAAUCCCGGCUCCAACACUUGCCUGCUGUGUGACCUCGGACAAGUCGCUUUACUUCUC